RNAcentral lists this ribosomal RNA (1080 nucleotides) under fungal endophyte. RNAcentral describes it as "eukaryotic LSU rRNA". The stretch from base 504 to 1080 matches the Rfam family "Eukaryotic large subunit ribosomal RNA", at positions 1 to 582 of the family's 3401-position model. Lineage: Eukaryota; Fungi. The record is from RNAcentral.
GGCCCGAUCUCCCAACCCUUUGCUUAUUAUACCUUGUGUUGCUUCGGUAGGUCUGGCUCGUCCUACCGGAGGACCGUAAAACGUCCUCUGGAGAGUGCCUACCGAUAGCCCAAACCAGAAACUCUUGAACAAAACAUGUCUUGUCUGAGUAAACAAAAAAAUUAAAGCAAAACUUUCAACAACGGAUCUCUUGGUUCUGGCAUCGAUGAAGAACGCAGCGAAAUGCGAUAAGUAAUGCGAAUUGCAGAAUUCCAGUGAGUCAUCGAAUCUUUGAACGCACAUUGCGCCCUUUGGUAUUCCGAAGGGCAUGCCUGUUCGAGCGUCAUUUUCACCCCUCAAGCCCCCGGCUUGGUGUUGGACGGUUUGGUUUAGGUACCCCUAGACCCCUCCUAAAGACAAUGACGGCGGCUGUUGAACCCCCGGUACACUGAGCUUCUUAACUGAGCACGUAUCGGAUCUAGGGUUUAGCGGCACCCGGUCUAUACCUUUUUUGCUUACAAGGUUGACCUCGGAUCAGGUAGGAAUACCCGCUGAACUUAAGCAUAUCAAUAAGCGGAGGAAAAGAAACCAACAGGGAUUGCCUCAGUAACGGCGAGUGAAGCGGCAACAGCUCAAAUUUGAAAUCUGGCCUCUUUGGGGUCCGAGUUGUAAUUUGUAGAGGAUGUUUCGGGUACCGCCUCGGUCUAAAUUUCUUGGAACAGAAUGUCAAAGAGGGUGAGAAUCCCGUCUUGGACCGGCGGUAGGGCCCAUGUGAAACUCCUUCGACGAGUCGAGUUGUUUGGGAAUGCAGCUCAAAAUGGGUGGUAAAUUUCAUCUAAAGCUAAAUAUUGGCCAGAGACCGAUAGCGCACAAGUAGAGUGAUCGAAAGAUGAAAAGCACUUUGAAAAGAGAGUUAAACAGUAUGUGAAAUUGUUGAAAGGGAAGCGCUUGCAACCAGACUUGAGCGCGGCGGUUCCCCCUUCCUUUUGGUUGGGUUACUCCGUCGUGUCCAGGCCAACAUCGGUUCUGGGGGUCGGUUAAAGGCUCGAGGAAUGUAUCUACUCCUUCGGGGGUAGACUUAUAGCCUCGGGUGUCAUGCGA